RNAcentral lists this ribosomal RNA (792 nucleotides) under uncultured bacterium. RNAcentral describes it as "bacterial SSU rRNA". It matches the Rfam family "Bacterial small subunit ribosomal RNA", at positions 83 to 873 of the family's 1533-position model. The record is from RNAcentral.
UGUGGGUGGCGAGUGGCGGACGGGUGAGGAAUACAUCGGAAUCUACCUUGUCGUGGGGGAUAACGUAGGAAACUUACGCUAAUACCGAUACGAACUAUGGUUGAAAGCAGCGGACCGCAAGCGUCGCGCGAUUGGAUGAGCCGAUGUCCGAUUAGCUAGUUGGCGGGGUAAAGGCCCACCAAGGCGACGAUCGGUAGCUGGUCUGAGAGGAUGAUCAGCCACACUGGAACUGAGAACACGGUCCAGACUCCUACGGGAGGCAGCAGUGGGGAAUAUUGGACAAUGGGCGCAAGCCUGAUCCACGCCAUGCCGCGUGUGUGAAGAAGGCCUUCGGGUUGUAAAGCACUUUUGUUGGGGAAGAAAAGCACUCAAUUAAUACCUGGGUGUUCUGACGGUACCCAAAGAAUAAGCACCGGCUAACUUCGUGCCAGCAGCCGCGGUAAUACGAAGGGUGCAAGCGUUACUCGGAUUCACUGGGCGUAAAGGGUGCGUAGUGGCUGGGUAAGUUUGAGGUGAAAGCUCCGGGCUCCAACCCGGGAAAUUGCCUUGAAUACUAUUCGGCUAGAAGGUUGGAGGGGAGACUGGAAUUCUCGGUGUAGCAGUGAAAUGCGUAGAUAUCGAGAGGAACACCAGUGGCGAAGGCGAGUCUCUGGACAACAUCUGACACUGAGGCACGAAAGCCAAGGGAGCAAACGGGAUUAGAUACCCCGGUAGUCUUGGCUGUAAACGGUGCGCACUUGCUGGAGCGGAUUCGACCCGUUCGUGGCGAAGUUAACACGAUAGUGCGCCGCU